RNAcentral lists this ribosomal RNA (458 nucleotides) under uncultured bacterium. Its description in RNAcentral is "SSU rRNA". It matches the Rfam family "Bacterial small subunit ribosomal RNA", at positions 26 to 518 of the family's 1533-position model. The record is from RNAcentral.
AGAAUCAACGCUGGCGGCGUGCCUAACACAUGCAAGUCGAACGAGAAAGGGUAGCAAUACCUGAGUAAAGUGGCGCACGGGUGAGUAACACGUGACUAACCUACCCUGGAGUGGGGGAUAACUGAGGGAAACCUUAGCUAAUACCGCAUAAUACCUACGGGUCAAAGGAGCAAUUCGCUUCAGGAGGGGGUCGCGGCCGAUUAGUUAGUUGGCGGGGUAAUGGCCCACCAAGACAGUGAUCGGUAUCCGGCCUGAGAGGGCGCACGGACACACUGGAACUGAAACACGGUCCAGACUCCUACGGGAGGCAGCAGUGGGGAAUUUUGCGCAAUGGGGGAACCCUGACGCAGCAACGCCGCGUGGAGGAUGAAGUCCUUCGGGACGUAAACUCCUUUCGAUCGGGACGAUUAUGACGGUACCGGAAGAAGAAGCCCGGCUAACUUCGUGCCAGCAGCCGC